CUUUCCCUCUGGAAAAGAUUCCCCCAGGAAAGCCAAACUCUAGAAGGAAAUACAGCAAAUCCAGUGAAAUCUUCAACUUUAAGUACAUCUUGUAUUCUUUUAAUUUUAAUGCGUUUAUGUCGUCUAACCUGGCAAAAGAACUCUCCCCUCAGUUUUUAUUUCCUCCUUUUAAAUACUGUUAUUUUCAACUUUCCAUCAAAUGCAUUUUGACGAGGGCUGAGAAUGUGUCCGGCAGCACGCAGCAAAUCAGAGGUUUUAUCUUACGCCUCCUGGGACGCUGCGGCUCUUGACACUACUACAAACCAGGACUAUAAACAUAAACAUGUGUCACUGUAACUGGGCAGUAGCUGCAGCCGUGGAAGGCGGUGAUUGGCUCCAGUGCUCCUAGAAGGAUUUGGGCUAAAGCCAGGGAACAGAACCAGAGGAUUCCCCUUCCAGAGACCAGCAGGCCCCACAUGUCUUAUCUCUCCCUUCUCCCCUCAUGGGUGCUCAGAAUUUCACUGUGGCUCCAGCAGCCUGUAGGAUCAAUUGUGAGAGGCCCUGAUGUCUCAGAGGAAAAUAUUGCAACAAAACAAGAUAAUUGGGGGAAAGGCGGCUGCAAGGCGGCUGACAUGGUCAACAUAUUUAUCAAAGAAACCCCCUGGCUUUUGAAGAAUUGUACUUUAUACAUCUGGAUCUGCACAUCCAGGCAAAGGUCAGAAAUAUCCGUUUAUUCUUUUAACCACACGGAUGUCUCUAUUUUUGGAAGAGCAAGGAAAUAUAUAAAUGCCUGGGUUGUAUUUGUGCUGUAG
This 791-nucleotide long non-coding RNA is filed under the name Sus scrofa (pig). RNAcentral describes it as "lncRNA (ENSSSCG00005010152.1)". Lineage: Eukaryota; Metazoa; Chordata; Mammalia; Artiodactyla; Suidae. The record is from RNAcentral.